CCAGAAGUAUUUAGUAACUAGAGGUUCUGGAAGUUUGUAUUGGAGGUUGGGAAGCAAUAUAGGCAACAUUUAAUACAAUCAAAAGUAUAUUGGUUAAAUGUUUGGUGGCGGAGGAGGGCCUUAGGGACGGAAUAGGAGAGAGAAUUACAAAUCAAAAACCUGUCAUGAGAAUUUUAGUGUAGCUUUCUGGAAUUGACUUGAGUGAAACUUCCGAAAAGUUUAAUUUAGGUGAUUAACUGGUUAAUGAUGAAAGAAUUUCUGGUUCAGUCAGUUACUUCUGUUUUCUGAGCAUGAGUGUUAGUUUACCCAUUCUAGCUAGAGAUAUCAGCCUUAGUUCCUUGUGAACUUGUGGAUCUCUCCGUUAUCCCAGGUUCUUCUGUAAAAUUAGAAUUGUAUAUUUACUCUGCUUUGUCCUAUGAAAGAUUUUCUCAAGUGCCACUCGUGGACUAUUGUUUCUGUUUUUCCUUUCUUUUUUUAACCAUGAAUAUAUAAGAAACCAUUUAUUAAAAUGUUUCUUCCAGCAUUUUGGAAGUGUGCCCAAAGGGCUAUAAAAUUGUGCAUACUCUCUUUGAUCCAGCAAUACUGAUGCUGUUUGAGUGGUCUAGAUUCCUAUUUAGAGAUUAGUGGCUAUUAAGAGAGUUAUUAAGAAUCCCCUUUAAAUUUGUUGCAGGUUUUAGUAAUGAAAGAAUUCACUCAUGCCCGAAUAUUAGUUGCAAAAUGAAAGUUUAUUGUUAGAUAGAAAUCAGUUUAACCAGGAGACUGACUUCUAUAGUGGCAGAUCUAUGGAAAAUGGAGUUUUGCACUGAGAAUGCAGUUGUCAGUGGACAGAAAGUCCUGGCAGUAAAGGGAGCUGUCAAGGUCCAUCUGCAAAGACUUUAGUUGUUGGAAGCUUAUUAUAUUGGGUGUCUUGGUGAGUGCUGGGACAACCGGAGCAGAUCAGAACCAGUGGGGGCUGGGAGAGCCCAAUUUGGUUCAAAUCCAGGGGGUGCUGGGACAAGCCCGGAUCUCCUAUUGGAAUUCAAAGGGAUGCUUUUUGACCAGGAUUUUUAAUUGAAUCAAAGGCUCUGGCAUCCUCGAAAGACAACUUGUCUGGUGAGGAUAUGCCUCAGCCAGGAGGGGUUGAGAAUCUGAAAGGAAUCACAGAUCAAUAGGAAAUAGUUUCUUAAAGGGACUGACGCGCUUCAAUACCACUAUUAGGUCUGUAUUCCAAAGAGAUCAUAAAAAAGGGAAAAAAGAAUUUCAUAUGAAAAAAAUAUUUCUAGUGGCUCUAUUUGUGGUGACAAAAAAUUUGGAAAUUGAAGGAAUGCAUAUCAAUUGAAGAAUGGCUGAAUAAGUUCUAGCUUGGCCAGAGUUGAAGCCUUCAGAAGUCAGAUCUUUUUUUGCUACAUAUUUUACCUAAUUAGAGGCACAUGACCCCUUUUCAGAGAGGCCUGGACAGACUUGCAUGAAGUGAUGCUAAGUGAAAUGAGCAAAAUCAGGAAAUCAUCAUACAUGGCAACAACAAGACUAUAUGAUGAUCAAUUCUGAUGGAUGUGGCUCUCUUCAAUAAAGAAAUGAUUCAAACUAGUUCCAAUUAUUCAGUGAUGAAGAGACCAAUCUAUACUCAGAGAGAGAACCGUGGGAACUGAGUGUGGACCACAACAUAGCAUUUUCGUGCUUUCUGUUGUUUGCUUGCAUUUUAUUUUCCUUCUCAGUUUUGUUUGUUUAUUUUUUCCUAGAUCCAAUUUUUCUUGUGCAGUAAGGUAACUGUAUAAAUAUGUAUGUAUGUCUAUAUAUAGGAUUUAAUAUAUAUUUUAACAUAUUUAACAUGCAUUGGACUAUCUGCCAUCUAGG
This is a long non-coding RNA of Antechinus flavipes (yellow-footed antechinus), 1833 nucleotides long. RefSeq lists it as uncharacterized. NCBI's taxonomy places the organism in Eukaryota, Metazoa, Chordata, Mammalia, Dasyuromorphia, Dasyuridae. The record is from RefSeq and is a predicted model, not a curated record. The transcript is spliced from 3 exons.